Molecule: ribosomal RNA, 122 nt
Filed under: Candidatus Methanophagaceae archaeon ex4572_4
Lineage: Archaea; Methanobacteriati; Methanobacteriota; Methanomicrobia; Candidatus Methanophagales; Candidatus Methanophagaceae
Also listed under: 1 other name
Source: RNAcentral
CACAGCGGCCACAGCGGCGGGGCAACUCCCGGUCUCAUUCCGAACCCGGCAGAUAAGCCCGCCAGCGUUCCCUACGGUACUGAGUUGCGCGAGCACUUGGGAACUGGGGAUCGCUGCUGUGC